RNAcentral lists this unclassified non-coding RNA (219 nucleotides) under Glomeraceae sp. RNAcentral's name for it is "partial contains 5.8S ribosomal RNA and internal transcribed spacer 2". The stretch from base 1 to 72 matches the Rfam family "5.8S ribosomal RNA", at positions 84 to 154 of the family's 154-position model. Lineage: Eukaryota; Fungi; Glomeromycota; Glomeromycetes; Glomerales; Glomeraceae. The record is from RNAcentral.
GUGAAUCAUCAAAUCUUUGAACGCAAAUUGCACUCUCCGGUUUUCCGGGAGAGUACGCCUGUUUGAGGGUCAGCCUAAAAAAAAUCGACAUUGUUGCUGUUAUUUAAUGGUGACUUUCGUCGGAGAUUGGGUUAUCUUAAACCUUUUUUUUUUGGUUUAACCACCUUAAAAUUUUUUUUCCCUUUUCAUUGAAGUUUCUAAAAUUUUUUUUUUUUUUUC